CAAGGCUGAGGUGUGAUGACGAGGCACUACGGUGCUGAAGUAACAAAUGCCCUGCUUCCAGGAAAAGCCUCUAAGCAUCAGGUAACAUCAAAUCGUACCCCAAACCGACACAGGUGGUCAGGUAGAGAAUACCAAGGCGCUUGAGAGAACUCGGGUGAAGGAACUAGGCAAAAUGGUGCCGUAACUUCGGGAGAAGGCACGCUGGUGUGUAGGUGAAGCCCCUGCGGGUGGAGCUGAGACCAGUCGAAGAUACCAGCUGGCUGCAACUGUUUAUUAAAAACACAGCACUGUGCAAACACGAAAGUGGACGUAUACGGUGUGACGCCUGCCCGGUGCCGGAAGGUUAAUUGAUGGGGUUAUCCGUAAGGAGAAGCUCUUGAUCGAAGCCCCGGUAAACGGCGGCCGUAACUAUAACGGUCCUAAGGUAGCGAAAUUCCUUGUCGGGUAAGUUCCGACCUGCACGAAUGGCGUAAUGAUGGCCAGGCUGUCUCCACCCGAGACUCAGUGAAAUUGAACUCGCUGUGAAGAUGCAGUGUACCCGCGGCAAGACGGAAAGACCCCGUGAACCUUUACUAUAGCUUGACACUGAACAUUGAGCCUUGAUGUGUAGGAUAGGUGGGAGGCUUUGAAGCGUGGACGCCAGUCUGCGUGGAGCCAACCUUGAAAUACCACCCUUUAAUGUUUGAUGUUCUAACGUUGGCCCCUUACCGGGGUUGCGGACAGUGUCUGGUGGGUAGUUUGACUGGGGCGGUCUCCUCCCAAAGCGUAACGGAGGAGCACGAAGGUUAGCUAAUCCUGGUCGGACAUCAGGAGGUUAGUGCAAUGGCAUAAGCUAGCUUGACUGCGAGCGUGACGGCGCGAGCAGGUGCGAAAGCAGGUCAUAGUGAUCCGGUGGUUCUGAAUGGAAGGGCCAUCGCUCAACGGAUAAAAGGUACUCCGGGGAUAACAGGCUGAUACCGCCCAAGAGUUCAUAUCGACGGCGGUGUUUGGCACCUCGAUGUCGGCUCAUCACAUCCUGGGGCUGAAGUAGGUCCCAAGGGUAUGGCUGUUCGCCAUUUAAAGUGGUACGCGAGCUGGGUUUAGAACGUCGUGAGACAGUUCGGUCCCUAUCUGCCGUGGGCGCUGGAGAAUUGAGGGGGGCUGCUCCUAGUACGAGAGGACCGGAGUGGACGCAUCACUGGUGUUCGGGUUGUCAUGCCAAUGGCACUGCCCGGUAGCUAAAUGCGGAAGAGAUAAGUGCUGAAAGCAUCUAAGCACGAAACUUGCCCCGAGAUGAGUUCUCCCUGAGACUUUAAGUCUCCUGAAGGAACGUUGAAGACGACGACGUUGAUAGGCCGGGUGUGUAAGCGCAGCGAUGCGUUGAGCUAACCGGUACUAAUGAACCGUGAGGCUUAACCUUACAACGCCGAAG
This 1411-nucleotide ribosomal RNA is filed under the name Klebsiella pneumoniae. Its description in RNAcentral is "bacterial LSU rRNA". It matches the Rfam family "Bacterial large subunit ribosomal RNA", at positions 1551 to 2925 of the family's 2925-position model. The record is from RNAcentral. Lineage: Bacteria; Pseudomonadati; Pseudomonadota; Gammaproteobacteria; Enterobacterales; Enterobacteriaceae. RNAcentral also lists the same sequence under 1 other name.